GCCCAGACUCCUACGGGAGGCAGCAGUGGGGAAUCUUCCGCAAUGGGCGCAAGCCUGACGGAGCAAUGCCGCGUGAACGAAGAAGGUCUUCGGAUUGUAAAGUUCUGUCCUUAUCGAAGAGAGGGUAUAGAGUGAAAAAUGAUAUACUAGGACGGUAGAUGAGGAGGAAGCCACGGCUAACUACGUGCCAGCAGCCGCGGUAAUACGUAGGUGGCAAGCGUUGUCCGGAUUUACUGGGUGUAAAGGGCGUGCAGCCGGGAAGACAAGUCAGAUGUGAAAUCCCGCGGCUCAACCGCGGAACUGCAUUUGAAACUGUUUUUCUUGAGUACCGGAGAGGUCAUCGGAAUUCCUUGUGUAGCGGUGAAAUGCGUAGAUAUAAGGAAGAACACCAGUGGCGAAGGCGGAUGACUGGACGGCAACUGACGGUGAGGCGCGAAAGCGUGGGGAGCAAACAGGAUUAGAUACCCGGGUACAG
RNAcentral lists this ribosomal RNA (475 nucleotides) under uncultured bacterium. RNAcentral describes it as "partial 16S ribosomal RNA". It matches the Rfam family "Bacterial small subunit ribosomal RNA", at positions 329 to 793 of the family's 1533-position model. The record is from RNAcentral.